AGUGAACGCUGGCGGUAGGCCUAACACAUGCAAGUCGAACGGCAGCACAGUAAGAGCUUGCUCUUACGGGUGGCGAGUGGCGGAUGGGUGAGGAAUACAUCGGAAUCUACUUUUUCGUGGGGGAUAACGUAGGGAAACUUACGCUAAUACCGCAUACGACCUACGGGUGAAAGCAGGGGAUAUUCGGACCUUGCGCGAUUGAAUGAGCCGAUGUCGGAUUAGCUAGUUGGCGGGGUAAAGGCCCACCAAGGCGACGAUCCGUAGCUGAUCUGAGAGGAUGAUCAGCCACACUGGAACUGAGACACGGUCCAGACUCCUACGGGAGGCAGCAGUGGGGAAUAUUGGACAAUGGGCGCAAGCCUGAUCCAGCCAUACCGCGUGGGUGAAGAAGGCCUUCGGGUUGUAAAGCCCUUUUGUUGGGAAAGAAAAGCAGCAGGUUAAUACCCCGCUGUUCUGACGGUACCCAAAGAGUAAGCACCGGCUAACUUCGUG
RNAcentral lists this ribosomal RNA (492 nucleotides) under uncultured bacterium. RNAcentral's name for it is "partial 16S ribosomal RNA". It matches the Rfam family "Bacterial small subunit ribosomal RNA", at positions 29 to 507 of the family's 1533-position model. The record is from RNAcentral.